GACGAACGCUGGCGGCGUGCCUAAUACAUGCAAGUAGAACGCAGAAGGGGGAGCUUUCUUCUCCGGAUGAGUUGCGCACGGGUGAGUAACGCGUAUGUAACCUGCCUCGUAGCGGGGGAUAACUCUUGGAAACGAUAGCUAUUACCGCAUAAGAGUAGAUGUCGCAUGACAUUUGCUUAAAAGAUGCAACUGUACCACUACCAAUUGGUGCUGCCUCGUCUUAGUUAGUUGGUGGGGUAACGGCUCACAACGGCAACGAUGCUUAGCCGCCCUGCGAGGGGAUCGGCCACACUGGGACCGGGACACCGCCCAGAACUCUACGGGAGGCAGCCGGAGGGAAUCUUCGGCCAUUGACGGAAGGCUGACCGAGCCAAGCCGCGGGAGUGGAGAAGGGUCUCGGAUCGUAAAGCUCUGGUGAAAGGGAAGGAAGAGAGUGAGAGUGGAAUGUGCACACUGUGACGGUACCUAAUCAGAAAGCGACGGCUAACUACGUG
Molecule: ribosomal RNA, 494 nt
Filed under: uncultured bacterium
Lineage: Bacteria
Description: partial 16S ribosomal RNA
Rfam family: Bacterial small subunit ribosomal RNA
Source: RNAcentral